UCCCUCCCGCUGUGUAAAAGUCGAGCACAAUGUGAUGGGGUGAGAGGAACCCUUCUUUCCCAUUUAUUUGAUGACUCAGAAAGAAUCCCAACAACUCCAUUUCCAAGCAUCUUGAACCUUCACCAGAGAAAACAAAAGAAAAAAAAAUGAACAACUAGAACUAUUACAGGCUUCUUUAGAAUGGGAUUGAACAAAAAAUACUAAUCAAAGUAUGUUUCUUACAGAGGAUCCCAUAAUAAAAUAGAAAACAAACUAAGAAUGAAACAAAUUGCUGCAGAACAAUUAUACCUCAAUGAGAUCAGUCACUGAGAAAUUUAAAUACUGCCGACAGUUUGUUUUAUUGGGAUCAUUUCUCAUUCAAUCGAACAAAUUAAGUGUGAUUUUGAAGUUAUAUAAACACAAGUUGAGGAAAGAUUCAAACACGUAAGAGAGAGAAACAGAGAUUGAAGAAAAUACAACUUACUUGUAAAUGAAGAAUUAAAAGAUGAGAUGAACCCAAAUUGAAGCGGUGAUCAAACAGUUCUGGGAAAGAAAAAGAUAUAUCACUGAACUGAUGAGUAGAGACUAUGAACAUGUAUGAAUUACAUGUCAUUAGAACAAAUAUUAGUCUGAAACUCAGAAAUCAUAUUGAUUGAGUUUAACAAUGAAAAUAAUAAAAAUAAUAAUAAUAGUAACGUUGAAACAGAGGAACCGCUCUACGUUGAAAGAAAGGAAAAGUUUAGUUGUGAAAAAAGAUGGGCAG
This 742-nucleotide long non-coding RNA is filed under the name Gossypium barbadense (sea-island cotton). RNAcentral describes it as "long non-coding RNA (GBAR_LNC005140)". Lineage: Eukaryota; Viridiplantae; Streptophyta; Magnoliopsida; Malvales; Malvaceae. The record is from RNAcentral.